AGGAUGAGCCCUUGCACUAUUAGCUUGUUGGUGGGGUAACGGCCUACCAAGGCUACGAUGGUUAGCUGGUCUGAGAGGAUGACCAGCCACACUGGAACUGAGACACGGUCCAGACUCCUACGGGAGGCAGCAGUGAGGAAUAUUACGCAAUGGGGGAAACCCUGACGCAGUGACGCCGCGUGAGUGAUGAAGGCUUUCGAGUCGUAAAGCUCUGUUAGGUGGAAAGAAACAUUCCAACGCUAAUAUCGUUGGAACUUGACGGUACCACCAGAGGAAGCACCGGCUAACUCCGUGCCAGCAGCCGCGGUAAUACGGAGGGUGCAAGCGUUGUUCGGAAUUACUGGGCGUAAAGGGCGUGUAGGCGGUUAGGCAAGUCAGGUGUGAAAUCCCUUGGCUCAACCAAGGAAGUGCGCUUGAAACUGCUUAACUAGAGUACAGGAGGGGAAAGUGGAAUUCCCAGUGUAGAGGUGAAAUUCAUAGAUAUUGGGAGGAACACCGGUAGCGAAGGCGGCUUUCUGGCCUGAUACUGACGCUGAGACGCGAAAGCGUGGGGAGCAAACAGGAUUAGAUACCCUGGUAGUCCACGCCGUAAACGAUGUGCACUAGGUGUAGGAAGUGUUGACCCUUUCUGUGCCGAAGCUAACGCAUUAAGUGCACCGCCUGGGGAGUACGGUCGCAAGGCUAAAACUCAAAGGAAUUGACGG
This 704-nucleotide ribosomal RNA is filed under the name uncultured bacterium. RNAcentral's name for it is "bacterial SSU rRNA". It matches the Rfam family "Bacterial small subunit ribosomal RNA", at positions 222 to 916 of the family's 1533-position model. The record is from RNAcentral.